RNAcentral lists this ribosomal RNA (460 nucleotides) under uncultured bacterium. Its description in RNAcentral is "partial 16S ribosomal RNA". It matches the Rfam family "Bacterial small subunit ribosomal RNA", at positions 61 to 795 of the family's 1533-position model. The record is from RNAcentral.
CCUCCUUUGUUCCUCCUUUCUUACUAUUUUUCAAUUUACUCAAUUCUUAACCAGCCAUUCCGCGUGCAGGAAGACGGCUCUAUGAGUUGUAAACUGCUUUUGUACGAGGGUAAACGCAGAUACGCGUAUCUGUCUGAAAGUAUCGUACGAAUAAGGAUCGGCUAACUCCGUGCCAGCAGCCGCGGUAAUACGGAGGAUUCAAGCGUUAUCCGGAUUUAUUGGGUUUAAAGGGUGCGUAGGCGGUAUGUCAAGUCAAGGGUGAAAUCCCCGCGCUCAACGUGGGAACUGCCUUUGAAACUGGCAAACUGGAGUGUGUGAGAGGAUAGUGGAAUUCCAGGUGUAGGAGUGAAAUCCGUAGAUAUCUGGAGGAACAUCAGUGGCGAAGGCGACUAUCUGGCACAUAACUGACGCUGAGGAGCGAAAGCGUGGGUAGCAAACAGGAUUAGAUACCCGUGUAGUC